CAGACUCAUCCUAGGCAUCCAUUGAGGAGGAAAAGGGCAGAAACGGGACUAUCAAAGGAGCUCUUAGGUCUGAGUGAAAUGCAUUGAGCGCAUCCCAGGGAACCUCUUCUGCUCACGGAAGCUGGAAACCUCAGCGAUGAGCCGAGCCGGAGCAGCGGGAGUGGAGAGAAAGGCAGGACCUCAGAACCACAGCGCCGGUGUCGGCUGUAUAAAUUUUUGUCUCCAACUUAAAUUUAAUCCACUCUGAAAGCUCAACCUACACACUAGCACGGGCAGAGAGACUUCAGGAGAAGUCCUGGUUCAAAAAUCUUCCAUCGCUCUGGCAAUGACAGUCAAAGCAGUUUCCAUUUCAAGGAGCUAAGAGAAUAGGGUGAACCCCUAUGGCGUCCUCCUGCUGUUUGGUCCUAAGACAUUUGUGGGAAGCGAUAAAAGUAGAGGAGGCAAAUGAAACACUGCGGGAUAGGAAAAGAGAGUUGCAAAGGUGGAUAUUGGAGGCUAGCGGCUUGAGGAGGCAGUCUCGAAAGGUGUUUACAUAGCGGCUUCGCCUCCAGAAUGCAGAGCGCUGCGCCAUCCCUCAGCAGUGUGCGCAGGCGCUGAGAGCUCUUCUGUGGGAGCAGAGGUGUUCAAAGCCCACACUGGACACUGGGCGGUGAAUGCGUGGGCAAGAGUUGAACAGCGCGGCAAGGCUUUGAAGACUGAGCUGACACUGAAGCUCAGGUCGCAGAAGGCCGCUUAGUCUGGAUCCAGCUGGAUCUACUGUCUGCUAAAGCUAAAACAC
This 778-nucleotide long non-coding RNA is filed under the name Rattus norvegicus (Norway rat). RNAcentral describes it as "long non-coding RNA NONRATT022203". Lineage: Eukaryota; Metazoa; Chordata; Mammalia; Rodentia; Muridae. The record is from RNAcentral.